CCUACGGGGGACAGCAGUGGGGGAUAUUGCACAAUGGGGGAAACCCUGAUGCAGCGACGCCGCGUGGGUGAAGAAGCGCCUCGGCGCGUAAAGCCCUGUCAGCAGGGAAGAAAAUGACGGUACCUGAAGAAGAAGCCCCGGCUAACUACGUGCCAGCAGCCGCGGUAAUACGUAGGGGGCAAGCGUUAUCCGGAUUUACUGGGUGUAAAGGGGGCGCAGACGGCGAUGCAAGCCAGGAGUGAAAGCCCGGGGCCCAACCCCGGGACUGCUCUUGGAACUGCGUGGCUAGAGUGCAGGAGGGGCAGGCGGAAUUCCGGGGGUAGCGGGGAAAUGCGUAGAUAUCAGGAGGAACACCGGUGGCGAAGGCGGCCUGCUGGACUGCAACUGACGUUGAGGCCCGAAAGCGUGGGGAGCAAACAGGAUUAGAUACCCGAGUAGUC
Molecule: ribosomal RNA, 440 nt
Filed under: uncultured bacterium
Lineage: Bacteria
Description: partial 16S ribosomal RNA
Rfam family: Bacterial small subunit ribosomal RNA
Source: RNAcentral